CCUACGGGUGACAGCAGUGAGGAAUAUUGGUCAAUGGGCGCUAGCCUGAACCAGCCAAGUAGCGUGAAGGAUGACUGCCCUAUGGUUUGUAAGCUUCUUUUAUAUGGAGAUAAGGUGCAGUGUGUAUACUUCUUUGCAUGUACCUUAUGAAUAAGGAUCGGCUCACUCCGUGCCAGCCGCCGCGGUAAUCCGGAGGGUCCGAUCGUUAUCCGGAUUUAAUUGGUUUAACGGGAGCGUAGGCGGGUUGUUAAGUCAGUUGUGAAAGUUUGCGGCGCAACCGUAGAAUUGCAGUUGAUACUGGCAUCCUUGAGUACAGUAGAGGUAGGCAGAAUUCGUGGUGUAGCGGUGAAAUGCUUAGAUAUCACGAAGAACUCCGAUUGCGAAGGCAGCCUGCUGGACUGUAACUGACGCUGAUGCUCGAAAGUGUGGGUAUCAAACAGGAUUAGAUACCCUUGUAGUC
RNAcentral lists this ribosomal RNA (460 nucleotides) under uncultured bacterium. RNAcentral describes it as "partial 16S ribosomal RNA". It matches the Rfam family "Bacterial small subunit ribosomal RNA", at positions 338 to 795 of the family's 1533-position model. The record is from RNAcentral.